This 892-nucleotide ribosomal RNA is filed under the name Tausonia pullulans. Its description in RNAcentral is "LSU rRNA". It matches the Rfam family "Eukaryotic large subunit ribosomal RNA", at positions 37 to 961 of the family's 3401-position model. Lineage: Eukaryota; Fungi; Basidiomycota; Tremellomycetes; Cystofilobasidiales; Mrakiaceae. The record is from RNAcentral.
AGCAUAUCAAUAAGCGGAGGAAAAGAAACCAACAGGGAUUGCCCUAGUAACGGCGAAGUGAAGCGGCAACAGCUCAAAUUUGAAAUCUGGCUUCGGCCCGAGUUGUAAUUUGUAGAGGAUGCUUUUGGCGAGGUGCCUUCUGAGUUCCCUGGAACGGGACGCCAGAGAGGGUGAGAGCCCCGUAUAGUCGGACACCUAGCCUCUGUAAAGCUCCUUCGACGAGUCGAGUAGUUUGGGAAUGCUGCUCAAAAUGGGAGGUAUAUCUCUUCUAAAGCUAAAUAUAGGCCAGAGACCGAUAGCGCACAAGUAGAGUGAUCGAAAGAUGAAAAGCACUUUGAAAAGAGGGUUAAAUAGCACGUGAAAUUGUUGAAAGGGAAGCGCUUGUGACCAGACUUGUGCCGGGCUGAUCAUCCAGUGUUCUCACUGGUGCACUCGACCCGGCUCAGGCCAGCGUCGGUUCUCGCGGGGGGAUAAAAGCGCCGGGAACGUGGCUCCUCCGGGAGUGUUAUAGCCCGGCGUUUAAUACCCUCGCGGGGACCGAGGUUCGCGCUCUGCAAGGACGCUGGCAUAAUGGUCAUCAGCGACCCGUCUUGAAACACGGACCAAGGAGUCGAGGUUUUGCGCGAGUGUUUGGGUGUAAAACCCGCACGCGUAAUGAAAGUGAACGUAGGUGAGAGCUUCGGCGCAUCAUCGACCGAUCCUGAUGUAUUCGGAUGGAUUUGAGUAAGAGCGUAAAGCCUCGGACCCGAAAGAUGGUGAACUAUGCCUGAAUAGGGUGAAGCCAGAGGAAACUCUGGUGGAGGCUCGCAGCGGUUCUGACGUGCAAAUCGAUUCGUCAAAUUUGGGCAUGGGGGCGAAAGACUAAUCGAACCAUCUAGUAGCUGGUUACCGC